UUCAUAAAGAGACUUUGAGAAGUGUCCCU
RNAcentral lists this non-coding RNA (29 nucleotides) under Rattus norvegicus (Norway rat). Lineage: Eukaryota; Metazoa; Chordata; Mammalia; Rodentia; Muridae. The record is from RNAcentral.